CAAGGACGGCAGCAGGCGCGAAACUUGUCCACUCCUUACGGGGGAGACAGUCAUGAGACGUGAGUAUAAGACCUGAGUGUAAAGACCUUAGGGUGAAGCAAUUGGAGGGCAAGCUUUGGUGCCAGCAGCCGCGGUAACUCCAACUCCAAGAGUGUCUAUGGUGGAUGCUGCAGUUAAAGGGUCCGUAGUCGUGAAUGCAAUUAAAUGUCGUUGUUCAAUAGCGAUGAGUUUGCUAAUGUUUGCGGAACGGAUAGGGAGUGUAGUAUAGACUGGCGAAGAAUGAAAUCUCAAGACCCAGUUUGGACUAACGGAGGCGAAGGCGACACUCUUAGACGUAUCUUAGGAUCAAGGACGAAGGCAGGAGUAUCGAAAGUGAUUAGACACCGCUGUAGUUCCUGCAGUAAACUAUGCCGACAGCCUGUGUGUGAGAAUACGUGGGCGGGAGAAAUCUUAGUGUUCGGGCUCUGGGGAUAGUACGCUCGCAAGGGUGAAACUUAAAGCGAAAUUGACGGAAGGACACUACCAGGAGUGGAUUGUGCUGCUUAAUUUAACUCAACGCGGGAAAACUUACCAGGGUCAAGUCAUUCGUUGAUCGAAUACGUGAGAAUGGCAGGAGUGGUGCAUGGCCGUUGGAAAUUGAUGGGGCGACCUUUAGCUUAAAUGCUUAAACCAGUGAGACCUCCUUGACAGGUGUUCUGUAACACAGGAGGGUGGAGGCUAUAACAGGUCCGUGAUGCCCUUAGAUAUCCUGGGCAGCAAGCGCAAUACAAUAUCUCUUCAGUAGACAAAGUGAUUUGAGAUGAGUAGGAUCUACGUUUGUAAAUACGUAGUGAAUAAGGAAU
RNAcentral lists this ribosomal RNA (842 nucleotides) under Enterocytozoon bieneusi H348. RNAcentral describes it as "bacterial SSU rRNA". It matches the Rfam family "Microsporidia small subunit ribosomal RNA", at positions 276 to 1134 of the family's 1311-position model. Lineage: Eukaryota; Fungi; Microsporidia; Enterocytozoonidae. The record is from RNAcentral.